AGCACCUCAAGUGGUCAGGAUGAUUAUUGGGCCUAAAGCAUCCGUAGCCGGCUCAGUAAGUUUCCGGUUAAAUCCAUUAGCUCAACUAAUGGCCUGCCGGAAAUACUGCAGAGCUAGGAAGUGGGAGAGGUAGACGGUACUCGGUAGGAAGGGGUAAAAUCCUUUGAUCUAUUGAUGACCACCUGUGGCGAAGGCGGUCUACCAGAACACGUUCGACGGUGAGGGAUGAAAGCUGGGGGAGCAAACCGG
Molecule: ribosomal RNA, 249 nt
Filed under: uncultured archaeon
Lineage: Archaea
Description: partial 16S ribosomal RNA
Rfam family: Archaeal small subunit ribosomal RNA
Source: RNAcentral